AAUAAGUGUAGUUUUGCACUGUUCAUGUCCAACGUUUGACCGUUCGUCUUAUUUAAAUUUUUUUAUGUUUAGUAUUUUUAUUGUUAUUAGAUGAUAAAACUGAAUAGUACUUUAUGUGUGACUUUUUUUAUUUUUCAUAAAUUCUUAAAAUAAGAUGGAUGGUCAAACGUUGGACACGGAUACCCACGGCUAGGGGUGAA
Oryza glaberrima (African rice) is the source of this 200-nucleotide non-coding RNA. NCBI's taxonomy places the organism in Eukaryota, Viridiplantae, Streptophyta, Magnoliopsida, Poales, Poaceae. The record is from Rfam.